RNAcentral lists this long non-coding RNA (300 nucleotides) under Danio rerio (zebrafish). RNAcentral's name for it is "si:dkey-110g7.6 (ENSDARG00000097380.2)". Lineage: Eukaryota; Metazoa; Chordata; Actinopteri; Cypriniformes; Danionidae. The record is from RNAcentral.
GUGAACUAACAGGGAAAUCUGAUUUCAAGUCUUGUCAGAGGAAUUUUUAAACGAUAUAAGAAUUGAUGGACGGCGCAAUUCAAGCUAUUCUAAGUCCAGUCAUGCAUGUGUCUGCGAUAUUGAAGCUGGUACAUGAGAGACCUUGUGAUAUUUGAGGAUGCAGGAUACGGACUUUUCCAGGACAGCAGGCGACCUCCUCCAUCAGUCAUCAUCUCCGUCAAGCUGACCGGGGCUCUAACUUUCCCUGAAAUCAUGCACAUGACAGUAAAGGACUUUUCCACUGCAGAGAUGUUUUAAAAG